UAGGGAAUCUUCCGCAAUGGGCAAAAGCCUGACGGAGCAACGCCGCGUGAGUGAUGAAGGUCUUCGGAUCGUAAAACUCUGUUAUUAGGGAAGAACAAAUGUGUAAGUAACUAUGCACGUCUUGACGGUACCUAAUCAGAAAGCCACGGCUAACUACGUGCCAGCAGCCGCGGUAAUACGUAGGUGGCAAGCGUUAUCCGGAAUUAUUGGGCGUAAAGCGCGCGUAGGCGGUUUUUUAAGUCUGAUGUGAAAGCCCACGGCUCAACCGUGGAGGGUCAUUGGAAACUGGAAAACUUGAGUGCAGAAGAGGAAAGUGGAAUUCCAUGUGUAGCGGUGAAAUGCGCAGAGAUAUGGAGGAACACCAGUGGCGAAGGCGACUUUCUGGUCUGUAACUGACGCUGAUGUGCGAAAGCGUGGGGAUCAAACAGG
Molecule: ribosomal RNA, 429 nt
Filed under: Actinomycetes bacterium
Lineage: Bacteria; Bacillati; Actinomycetota; Actinomycetes
Description: Actinobacteria bacterium partial 16S ribosomal RNA
Rfam family: Bacterial small subunit ribosomal RNA
Source: RNAcentral